GGAGACUAGUGUUUACCCAGGAGAACCUGCGCCUCUUAAAGAGAUCAGGGCUAUAACAGAAAAUCAUCCUUAUUUUUUUAUGGGUGCAUCACCUGAUUCAGGUCAACUGAUAGCCAUGCUGUUGGAUAUGUUAAAUGCCAAAAACACAAUUGAACUCGGAGUCUUCACCGGUUAUUCUCUGCUUCUCACUGCUUUUACAAUUCCUGAUGAUGGCAAGAUCCUAG
RNAcentral lists this unclassified non-coding RNA (224 nucleotides) under Hevea brasiliensis (rubber tree). Lineage: Eukaryota; Viridiplantae; Streptophyta; Magnoliopsida; Malpighiales; Euphorbiaceae. The record is from RNAcentral.